GAAACGACUGCUAAGACUGGAUAGGAGACAAGAAGGCAUCUUCUUGUUUUUAAAAGACCUAGCAAUAGGUAUGCUUAGGGAGGAGCUUGCGUCACAUUAGUUAGUUGGUGGGGUAAAGGCCUACCAAGACUAUGAUGUGUAGCCGGGCUGAGAGGUUGAACGGCCACAUUGGGACUGAGACACGGCCCAAACUCCUACGGGAGGCAGCAGUAGGGAAUUUUCGGCAAUGGAGGAAACUCUGACCGAGCAACGCCGCGUGAACGAUGAAGUAUUUCGGUACGUAAAGUUCUUUUAUUAGGGAAGAAUAAAUGAUGGAAAAAUCAUUCUGACGGUACCUAAUGAAUAAGCCCCGGCUAACUAUGUGCCAGCAGCCGCGGUAAUACAUAGGGGGCAAGCGUUAUCCGGAAUUAUUGGGCGUAAAGGGUGCGUAGGCGGUUAAAUAAGUUUAUGGUCUAAGUGCAAUGCUCAACAUUGUGAUGCUAUAAAAACUGUUUAGCUAGAGUAAGAUAGGGGCAAGUGGAAUUCCAUGUGUAGUGGUAAAAUGCGUAAAUAUAUGGAGGAACACCAGUAGCGAAGGCGGCUUGCUGGGUCUUUACUGACGCUGAGGCACGAAAGCGUGGGGAGCAAACAGGAUUAGAUACCCUGGUAGUCCACGCCGUAAACGAUGAGUACUAAACGUUGGGUAAAACCAGUGUUGAAGUUAACACAUUAAGUACUCCGCCUGAGUAGUACGUACGCAAGUAUGAAACUUAAAGGAAUUGACGGGACUCCGCACAAGCGGUGGAUCAUGUUGUUUAAUUCGAAGGUACCCGAAAAACCUCACCAGGUCUUGACAUGCUUCUGCAAAGCUGUAGAAACACAGUGGAGGUUAUCAGUUGCACAGGUGGUGCAUGGUUGUCGUCAGCUCGUGUCGUGAGAUGUUGGGUUAAGUCCCGCAACGAGCGCAACCCUUAUUGUUAGUUACCAGCACGUAAUGGUGGGGACUUUAGCAAGACUGCCAGUGAUAAAUUGGAGGAAGGUGGGGACGACGUCAAAUCAUCAUGCCCCUUAUGACCUGGGCUACAAACGUGAUACAAUGGCUGUUGCAAAGGGUAGCUGAAGCGCAAGUUUUUGGCGAAUCUCAAAAAAACAGUCUCAGUUCGGAUUGAAGUCUGCAACUCGACUUCAUGAAGUUGGAAUCGCUAGUAAUCGCGAAUCAGCAUGUCGCGGUGAAUACGUUCUCGGGGUUUGUACACACCGCCCGUCA
Molecule: ribosomal RNA, 1246 nt
Filed under: Phytoplasma sp.
Lineage: Bacteria; Bacillati; Mycoplasmatota; Mollicutes; Acholeplasmatales; Acholeplasmataceae
Description: bacterial SSU rRNA
Rfam family: Bacterial small subunit ribosomal RNA
Source: RNAcentral